RNAcentral lists this long non-coding RNA (881 nucleotides) under Androctonus crassicauda. The record is from RNAcentral. Lineage: Eukaryota; Metazoa; Arthropoda; Arachnida; Scorpiones; Buthidae.
UUAAUAAAAGCUCGAUAUACAGUAGUAGUGCUUUUGAUUAAAAUAUAAUCCUCAUCAGCUACUAAAAUUAAUGAAAUAUACAAGAAUUCUAUAGAAUGCCCAAAUUCUAAUUUCUAAAUUUUUACUUCAAAAUGUUGGCAACACAAAAUCGCAACACAAGUCAAACGUUUCACGGGAUUACAUCAAGUAAAUUUAUAAUAAGAAAACAUUAAAAUUAUACUAAGUAACUUAACAAUGUAUUGCAUCAUAGAGAAUGAACAACUAAAUAUUCACUGGCUAAAAUAUUGCCGUGGAGUCCGAAUAUUCUCAAAAGUCUGUACUUAAGUAUUCACUAAUUUCUGGAAAUAUUACACCAUUUCCAAGCAUUACUUAAUGAGGCAGGAUCUAACUUAUUAAUUGGUUUACAUCUCUUGCUUCGGUUGGUGUAGAAUGCCACCGUUCCGCGAUCUUCCCUCUCUUAGGGUCUUGUUCUCUACGCAACAAUUUACUGUUAGUCCACUCAACCUCUAAGUCUGAUGUAAGUGCAUGUUGCACUAAUGCAGUACUAGUAGCUUUUUUCUCUGUCUUUUUUAUGUUCCUGGAUCCGCCUCUUUAGGGAACGUGCUGUAUAACCGAUAUAGUUGCACUGGUAUUCGUAGAAAGGGAUCUGAUAUACUCCAGGGAAAUAUAUGUCGUUAAUCCUAUCCUUGUCAUUCCUGAUACGGCUGAAUAGUGUAUUUCUUCUGUUAAAGAUGAUUUUUUGGCCAGAAAGUUUCUCCAGUUUCCUCUUAAAUUUCAAUGAGAUGGAAUUAAAAUGUCCAUCAUAUACACUAGCUUAUCGUCUGUUUGUCUAUUACUUGUGGCAAAGUGAAAUUUGGUAUUUUCUUGUAAAUUGUUCAGCA